GAUGCAUGGAUAACUUUUUAUCCAUAUGCUUUUCUAAGCAUAUUGCAGCUACUUGGUCUCUAAGUUAUAUGAGUUCACCUAAUAGUUAUUUUUCACACUUCCUAGUUAAGUCAGAUCCACCGUUGACAAGCAGAUGUAAAGCCGUCAUUGGGUCCCUCACCUAACAGUUAUUGGGCCCAACUCCAUCUUUACCCCACAGCAACUCUUUGCUAAUAGAGUGGUUGCAUAUUCUCGAUGCAACUGAAUCACUGUGAUCAGCCGAAAAUAAUCAACGCC
This 276-nucleotide long non-coding RNA is filed under the name Elaeis guineensis (African oil palm). RNAcentral describes it as "long non-coding RNA (EGUI_LNC035705)". Lineage: Eukaryota; Viridiplantae; Streptophyta; Magnoliopsida; Arecales; Arecaceae. The record is from RNAcentral.